AGUGAACGCUGGCGGUAGGCCUAACACAUGCAAGUCGAACGGAAACACAGUAAGCGCUUGCUCCUACGGGUGGCGAGUGGCGGACGGGUGAGGCAUACAUCAGAAUCUUCUUUUUCGUGGGGGAUAACGGGGGAAAGCUUCCGCUACUACCGAAUAUGUCGUACGGGUGAAAUCAGUAGAUAUUCGCACCUUUCGCGAUUGAAUGAGCCGAUGCCGGAUUAGCUAGUUGGCAGGGUAAAGGCCCACCAAGGCGACGAUCCGUAGCCGACCUGAGAGGAUGAUCGGCCACACUGGAACUGAGACACGGUCCAGACUCCUACGGGAGGCAGCAGUAGGGAAUAUUCCACAAUGGGCGCAAGCCUGACGGAGCAACGCCGCGUGAGUGAAGAAGGUCUUCGGAUUGUAAAACUCUUUUAUUAGGAAAGAACAACAGCGUAUGAAUCCCCGCCUGUUCUGACGGUACCUAAUCAGUAAGCACCGGCUAACUUCGUG
RNAcentral lists this ribosomal RNA (492 nucleotides) under uncultured bacterium. RNAcentral describes it as "partial 16S ribosomal RNA". It matches the Rfam family "Bacterial small subunit ribosomal RNA", at positions 29 to 507 of the family's 1533-position model. The record is from RNAcentral.